AGAACGAACGCUGGCGGCAUGCCUAACACAUGCAAGUCGAACGAGACCUUCGGGUCUAGUGGCGCACGGGUGCGUAACGCGUGGGAACCUGCCUUUAGGUUCGGAAUAACUCCUCGAAAGGGGUGCUAAUACCGAAUAAUGUCUUCGGACCAAAGAUUUAUCGCCUUUAGAUGGGCCCGCGUUGGAUUAGCUAGUUGGUGGGGUAAAGGCCUACCAAGGCGACGAUCCAUAGCUGGUCUUAGAGGAUGAUCAGCCACACUGGGACUGAGACACGGCCCAGACUCCUACGGGAGGCAGCAGUGGGGAAUAUUGGACAAUGGGCGAAAGCCUGAUCCAGCAAUGCCGCGUGAGUGAUGAAGGCCUUAGGGUGUAAAGCUCUUUUACCAGGAUGAUAAUGACAGUACCUGGAGAAUAAGCUCCGGCUAACUCCGUGCCAGCAGCCGC
Molecule: ribosomal RNA, 444 nt
Filed under: uncultured soil bacterium
Lineage: Bacteria
Description: bacterial SSU rRNA
Rfam family: Bacterial small subunit ribosomal RNA
Source: RNAcentral